RNAcentral lists this ribosomal RNA (378 nucleotides) under uncultured eukaryote. RNAcentral's name for it is "SSU rRNA". It matches the Rfam family "Eukaryotic small subunit ribosomal RNA", at positions 587 to 972 of the family's 1831-position model. The record is from RNAcentral.
AGCUCCAAUAGCGUAUAUUAAAGUUGUUGCAGUUAAAUAGCUCGUAGUUGAAUUUUGGACCGGGUCUGUCGGUCGGCCCUUUGGGUCGUACUGACGGCUUGGUCUUUCUUUCUGGGGAACUUGUGUGCACUUUACCGUGUGUGCAAGGGAUCCAGGACUUUUACUUUGAAAAAAUUAGAGUGUUUAAAGCGGGCUUUUGCUUGAAUACAUUAGCAUGGAAUAAUAGAAUAGGACUUUGGUUCUAUUUUGUUGGUUUCUAGGGCCGAAGUAAUGAUUAAUAGGGAUAGUUGGGGGCAUUAGUAUUUAAUUGUCAGAGGUGAAAUUCUUGGAUUUAUGAAAGACUAACUUCUGCGAAAGCAUUUGCCAAGGAUGUUUUCA